Molecule: ribosomal RNA, 301 nt
Filed under: uncultured bacterium
Lineage: Bacteria
Description: partial 16S ribosomal RNA
Rfam family: Bacterial small subunit ribosomal RNA
Source: RNAcentral
CAGUCGCCGCGGGAAUACGUAGGGUGCGAGCGUUAAUCGGAAUUACUGGGCGUAAAGCGUGCGCAGGCGGUUUUGUAAGACAGGCGUGAAAUCCCCGGGCUCAACCUGGGAAUGGCGCUUGUGACUGCAAAGCUAGAGUGCGGCAGAGGGGGAUGGAAUUCCGCGUGUAGCAGUGAAAUGCGUAGAUAUGCGGAGGAGCACCGAUGGCGAAGGCAAUCCCCUGGGCCUGCACUGACGCUCAUGCACGAAAGCGUGGGGAGCAAACAGGAUUAGAUACCCCCGUAGUCCCUGUCUCUUAUAC